GACGAACGCUGGCGGCGUGUUUAACACAUGCAAGUCGAGCGGUAAGGCCCUUUCGGGGGUACACGAGCGGCGAACGGGUGAGUAACACGUGGGUGACCUGCCCUCAGCUCUGGGAUAAGCCUGGGAAACCGGGUCUAAUACUGGAUAUGACUCCAUGACGCAUGUUGUGGGGUGGAAAGCCUUGUGCGGCUGAGGAUGGGCCCGCGGCCUAUCAGCUUGUUGGUGGGGUGANGGCCUACCAAGGCGACGACGGGUAGCCGGCCUGAGAGGGCGACCGGCCACACUGGGACUGAGACACGGCCCAGACUCCUACGGGAGGCAGCAGUGGGGAAUCUUGCGCAAUGGGCGAAAGCCCGACGCAGCGACGCCGCGUGAGGGAUGACGGCCUGGUGUAAC
RNAcentral lists this ribosomal RNA (396 nucleotides) under uncultured bacterium. Its description in RNAcentral is "bacterial SSU rRNA". It matches the Rfam family "Bacterial small subunit ribosomal RNA", at positions 28 to 429 of the family's 1533-position model. The record is from RNAcentral.